UUAAUAGUAAAAUCUGCUCAAUGAACUUUCAAUAGCCGCUAUUAGUGCUAAGGUAGCAUAAUAAAUUGUCUUUUAAAUGAAGACUAGAACAAAAGAUUUAACAUUUUAAUUAAUUUCUUUUAUUAAAAUAUUUAACUUUUCAUAAAAAUUAUAAAAUUUUUAUUUAAUAAAAAGACGACAAGACCCUAUUGAACUUAACUUUAGUUAAACUGGGGCAGUAAAUUAAUUAUUAUUUUAAUUAAAAUAAUUUUUUAAAAAACCUAAUAAUUGAUAAAUAAGUUACCAUAGGGAUAACAGCGUAAUAUUAUUCUAAAGAUCUUAUAUAAAAUAAAGAUUACGACCUCGAUGUUGAAUUAAUAACUUAUUUAAAGCAAAAUUUAAAAUAGGAAGUCUGUUCGACUUUUAAAUAAUUACAUGAUUUGAGUUCAGACCGGUGCAAGCCAGGUCGGUUUCUAUCUUUUAACAAAAUUCUUAUAGUACGAAAGGACCUAAAAAUUAAAUUUAAUUUUUCUAUUUGGCAGAAUAAUGCAUUAGAAUUAGAAUCUAAUUAACU
RNAcentral lists this ribosomal RNA (553 nucleotides) under Rhetenor cf. texanus MCH-2001. RNAcentral describes it as "partial 16S ribosomal RNA". The stretch from base 168 to 462 matches the Rfam family "Bacterial large subunit ribosomal RNA", at positions 2073 to 2647 of the family's 2925-position model. The record is from RNAcentral. Lineage: Eukaryota; Metazoa; Arthropoda; Arachnida; Araneae; Salticidae.